UGGGGAAUAUUGCACAAUGGGGGAAACCCUGAUGCAGCGACGCCGCGGGAGCGAAGAAGGGUUUCGAAUCGUAAAGCGCUGUCCUAGGAGAAGAUAAUGACGGUAUCAUAGGAGGAAGCGGCGGCUAAAUACGUGCCAGCAGCCGCGGUAAUACGUAUGGGGCGAGCGUUGUCCGGAAUUAUUGGGCGUAAAGGGUACGUAGGCGGUCUAUUAAGUCAGGUGUGAAAGCGUGAGGCUUAACCUCAUUAAGCACUUGAAACUGAUAGACUUGAGUGAAGGAGAGGAAAGUGGAAUUCCUAGUGUAGCGGUGAAAUGCGUAGAUAUUAGGAGGAAUACCGGUGGCGAAGGCGACUUUCUGGACUUUUACUGACGCUCAGGUACGAAAGCGUGGGGAGCAAACAGG
RNAcentral lists this ribosomal RNA (403 nucleotides) under Verrucomicrobiota bacterium. RNAcentral describes it as "Verrucomicrobia bacterium partial 16S ribosomal RNA". It matches the Rfam family "Bacterial small subunit ribosomal RNA", at positions 355 to 776 of the family's 1533-position model. The record is from RNAcentral. Lineage: Bacteria; Pseudomonadati; Verrucomicrobiota.